CAGAGCACGAGCCGCAGGUGUUGGCUGAGCUGGGCAAGGUGCACAGGGCUCCUGGCAGCCCGCAGAUCCCCGAUUUCCCUGGGCAUGGAGGUGCCCUUUGUGCUGCUCCUGAGCCGGCUUGUGGCUGAAGUGGCUGGAAAAUCCCCAGAAAACUCAGUGCCGGGAGCCCCAGAGUGCUGUGAGGGGAGGUCAGACCCCAACGGCUCCUGCCCGCACUGCAGCCCAGGCUGCUACCGGCGCUGGAACGAGGACGGGAGCGGCGGCGGCUGCGUCCGGUGCCGGAACCAGAGCCUGGGGCAGCCCCUCGGUGACUGUGGCAGUGGGGGCCCUGAGGUCGCGGCUUCGCUGAUUUUGGGGACGUUUUUCCUCAGUUUGUUCCUGAUCCUUUCUGUGGCUUCUUUCUUCUACCUCAAAAGAGCAAACAAACUCCCAAAGGUUUUCUACAGGAGGAACAAAGUGCGGAAGCCGCGCUACGUCCGCCGCGAGCGCUCGCUGGGCCCGGCCGAGAGCCGGGUCAGCAACGUCUGAGCCCAGCUGGAGAUCCCGGAGAUCCCGAUCCUGGAAAUCCUGAUCCUGGGAAAUCCCAGCCCCAGGAGAUCCCGGGAGAUCCUGAUCCCAGGAGAUCCCAAUCCCAGAAAAUCCCGAUCCCAGGAAAUCCCAAUCCCGGGAAAUCCCGAUCCUGGAAAUCCCGAGGAUUCCUCAUGGAUUUGGGGGAUUUUCCCUGUUGGGGGAGAAUUCCUGAGGGAUCUGGGGGAUUUUUGGUGUUGGGGAGAAUUCAUGAGGGAUUUGGGGACUUUCCUUGGGAUGUGACCCCAAAAUCCUGGGAUUUGGGAUGUGGAUCCAUUCCGGGCUGGCAAAGGGAUCCUCUCAAGCCCCACUGCUUUAAGCUGGGACGGCAAUUAAUUAUGCUAAUUAAAAAUGAUAAUGAAUUAUCCUAAUUAAUAAUGCUAAUCAUGCUGAUUAACGAUGAAUAAUUAAAUAUUUCAACAAUGAAGAUGCAGAAUCCUUUGGAAGCAAAUCCCAGAUCCCGCUGGGAGCGUUUUGGGAUAAUCCAGGCCUGAUCCCAAAGCUUGGGGUUUUUUUGGGGAUUUUUUGGGAAUUUUUCCAGCUCAAUCCUUGGAUUCGGGGUUCUCCAAGGGAUAAUCCAUUCCUGGUGGAAUUGGGAAUUCCUGCUUUUGAGAUUUUUGGGAUGAGCCACAGGGAUCGGGACAACUCCUGCCAGUGGAAAAAUGGGAUUUUGGCUUUGGGAAAUCCCUGGAAUUCAAGCUCCAGAGGCAUUCCCAAAUUCCAGAGGCAUUCCCAAAUUCCAGGCACCAGCCUCAACUUCUCCCCUGGAGCUUGAUUCUACUGGAGGGAUUUUAGGAAUUUCAAACAGCUGGAAAAGGAAUUUUUUCCUGGCUGGGUCUCCCUGCUGCUGCUUUUCCUGCAGCCGGAGGGUCCCAAAUCCAUGGAAAAGUCACUGCCACCCCCUGGAAUUCCAGCUUUUCCUCCUGGCUGGGCUGGCUCUGGGAUCCAUCCCAAAUCCCUGGAAUUUCUCUGUCACUCCCUGGAAUUCCAGCUUUUCCUUCUGGAUCCCAAAUCCAUGGAAAAGUCACUGUCACCCUCUGGAAAAUCCCAAAUCCAUCCCAAAUCCCUGUAAUUUCACUGGAAUUCCAGCUUUUCCUCCUGGAUCCCAAAUCCAUCCCAAAUCCCUGGAAUUCCUCUUUCCCCCUGGAAUUCCAGCUUUUUCCAGUAUUUUUUAUGGAAAAAUGAGCACAAACCUGGAUCUGCUCCAAACCCUCCGAGAGGAGAAUUGGGAUGGGCAGAAAUCCAUUUAUCCCAUGGAAUAAUCCCAUUUUUUCUGGGAAUUUUGGGGCAGCCAGAUUUGCUUCAAUCUCCUCAAAACCUGAUGAGAUUUUGGUGGAAUUUUCAGGGAUAAAGCCCAAAUCAUGGCAAGGUUCCCGUGCCAAAAAAUUCCAAAAUUUUCCUCUUUAUUAUGAUAAAUAAAAACUUUUUACUCCUGGCCAAGGAAUUCCAAAUGAAAUUUCCAAUUUUUUCGGAGAUUCCAGCUUGGAAUUUUGAUCAUUUCCAAUUUGCUGCUGCUGAGAUUUUUUGGGUUUUCCUUCCUAAUGAGGAAAUUUUUAUCCUGGAAUUCAGAAUUCCUGAGGAUUUUCCAAAUUCCCAAGGAUUUUCUGAAUUCCAAAGGGG
Molecule: long non-coding RNA, 2187 nt
Organism: Taeniopygia guttata (zebra finch)
Lineage: Eukaryota; Metazoa; Chordata; Aves; Passeriformes; Estrildidae
Source: Ensembl